RNAcentral lists this ribosomal RNA (460 nucleotides) under uncultured bacterium. Its description in RNAcentral is "partial 16S ribosomal RNA". It matches the Rfam family "Bacterial small subunit ribosomal RNA", at positions 338 to 795 of the family's 1533-position model. The record is from RNAcentral.
CCUACGGGAGGCAGCAGUGAGGAAUAUUGGUCAAUGGGCGUAAGCCUGAACCAGCCAAGUCGCGUGAGGGAUGAAGGUUCUAUGGAUCGUAAACCUCUUUUAUAAGGGAAUAAAGUGUGGGACGUGUCCUAUUUUGUAUGUACCUUAUGAAUAAAGCUCGGCUAACUCCGUGCCCGCAGCCGCGGUUAUACGGAGGAUCCGAGCGUUAUCCGGAUUUAUUGGGGUUAAAGGGUGCGUAGGCGGCCUUUUAAGUCAGCGGGGAAAGUGUGUGGCUCAACCAUAGAAUGGCCGUUGAAACUGGGGGGCUUGAGUGUGUGUGAGGCAGGCGGAAUGCGUGGUGUAGCGGUGAAAUGCUUAGAUAUCACGCAGAACCCCGAUUGCGAAGGCAGCCUUCCGGCGCCCUACUGACGCUGAGGCACGAAAGUGUGGGGAUCGAACAGGAUUAGAUACCCCAGUAGUC